UCCCCCGUGAGGGGGCAGUCUCGCCUGACAUAUAUAACAGACAACGAGGGUUGCGUUCGUUACCCCACUGAAGGGAACAGCUCAAGCCACGAACUGACGACGACCAUGCAUCACCUGCCAAACACCCUCGAAGGAUUCUCUGUUUUCACAGAGCGUGCAGUUUGGUUUCUAGCCUUGGUAAGGUUCUUCGCUUGUCGACGAAUUAAGCCACAUGAUCCACCCCUUGUGCGAGUCCCCGUCUAUUCCUUUGAGUUUUAAUCUUGCGAUCGUACUACCCAGGCGGCUCGCUUACCGCGUUAGCUUAGUCCCACAGAGGGUCGAUACUCCGUAGAACGAGCGAGCAACGUUUAGGGCCAGGACUAC
RNAcentral lists this unclassified non-coding RNA (363 nucleotides) under uncultured bacterium. Its description in RNAcentral is "contains 16S-23S intergenic spacer region". The record is from RNAcentral.